UACGAAGGGUGCAAGCGUUGUUCGGAAUUACUGGGCGUAAAGCGCGCGUAGGCGGCUAUACAAGUCAGAGGUGAAAUCCCGGAGCUCAACUCCGGAACUGCCUUUGAAACUGUAUAGCUAGAGUAUUGGAGGGGAGUGCGGAAUUCCUAAUGUAGAGGUGAAAUUCGUAGAUAUUAGGAGGAACACCGGUGGCGAAGGCG
RNAcentral lists this ribosomal RNA (200 nucleotides) under uncultured bacterium. Its description in RNAcentral is "partial 16S ribosomal RNA". It matches the Rfam family "Bacterial small subunit ribosomal RNA", at positions 524 to 723 of the family's 1533-position model. The record is from RNAcentral.